Molecule: ribosomal RNA, 253 nt
Filed under: uncultured bacterium
Lineage: Bacteria
Description: partial 16S ribosomal RNA
Rfam family: Bacterial small subunit ribosomal RNA
Source: RNAcentral
GACAGAGGGCGCAAACGUUGCUCGGAAUCACUGGGCGUAAAGGGCGUGUAGGCGGGUAGGAAAGUCAAAUGUGAAAUCCCUGGGCUCAACCCAGGAACUGCAUUUGAAACUCCCUUUCUUGAGUGUCGGAGAGGAAAGUGGAAUUCCUGGUGUAGAGGUGAAAUUCGUAGAUAUCAGGAGGAACACCGGUGGCGAAGGCGGCUUUCUGGACGACAACUGACGCUGAGACGCGAAAGCGUGGGGAGCAAACAGG